AAUGCAUGAUGAGGGAACCUUCUCAAUAAUUCCUUAUACCUCUCUCAUGCAUUAUAUAGAGUCUCUAAAUCAAUCUGAACAAAGGAAGAGAUGUCAUUCUUCAAUUU
Molecule: non-coding RNA, 107 nt
Organism: Gossypium raimondii (Peruvian cotton)
Lineage: Eukaryota; Viridiplantae; Streptophyta; Magnoliopsida; Malvales; Malvaceae
Source: Rfam